Molecule: long non-coding RNA, 511 nt
Filed under: Numida meleagris (helmeted guineafowl)
Lineage: Eukaryota; Metazoa; Chordata; Aves; Galliformes; Numididae
Description: lncRNA (ENSNMEG00000011564.1)
Source: RNAcentral
GUAGUCUGUAAGCAUCCUACUUUAGUAAGUAUGGAGUGAUUCCCUCUGGCAGUAUCACAAUCACAGGAAUCCCUGCAUCUCACUGGAGCAUAUUACGCUAAGAAAUCCCUCAUUUUGGAUGAUUUACCAACUCAGGAUCUCAAAGGCAAUAACUUCAAGCUGUCUUAAGAAGCAAUGAAAUCCAGUGGACAGUGGAGCAGGAUGUCUAUGAAGAGCAUGAGCCUCAUUUACGAUUGCUUGCAUGUUUGGUGCAAAGGAUCAGCAUGGACUCAGCUAGACAGGAUGGAUGCAGAAUGGUGCAGAGAAGAAACAGAUGGGCAACCAGCAAAGCAGCAGUGGGACAAACUUUCUAGAUCUGUUCUCACCUUUUUCUGUGGAGGCCAGAUAUUGCACCUAGAGAGAAGAAAAAUCCAGGAGACAACUGGUACACUUCAAGAAGUUCAAUGAAUUUGAUUAAUAACGGACAUGACUUGAAGAAUUAAUAAAAUGAUAAUCUGUCUGCCUCUGUGCA